Molecule: ribosomal RNA, 468 nt
Filed under: uncultured bacterium
Lineage: Bacteria
Description: partial 16S ribosomal RNA
Rfam family: Bacterial small subunit ribosomal RNA
Source: RNAcentral
GACGAACGCUGGCGGCGUGCUUAACACAUGCAAGUCGAACGGAAAGGCCCUGCUUUUGUGGGGUGCUCGAGUGGCGAACGGGUGAGUAACACGUGAGUAACCUGCCCUUGACUUUGGGAUAACUUCAGGAAACUGGGGCUCAUACCGGAUAGGAGCUCCUGCUGCAUGGUGGGGGUUGGAAAGUUUCGGCGGUUGGGGAUGGACUCGCGGCUUAUCAGCUUGUUGGUGGGGUAGUGGCUUACCAAGGCUUUGACGGGUAGCCGGCCUGAGAGGGUGACCGGCCACAUUGGGACUGCGAUAGGGCCCAGACUCGUACGGGAGGCAGCGGUGGAGAAUAUUACACAAUGGGCGGAAGCCUGAUGCGGCAACGCCGCGUGCGGGAUGACGGCCUUCGGGUUGUGAACCGAUUUCGCCUGUGACGAAGCGUGAGUGACGGUAAUGGGUAAAGAAGCACCGGCUAACUACGUG